This 492-nucleotide ribosomal RNA is filed under the name uncultured bacterium. RNAcentral describes it as "partial 16S ribosomal RNA". It matches the Rfam family "Bacterial small subunit ribosomal RNA", at positions 29 to 507 of the family's 1533-position model. The record is from RNAcentral.
AGUGAACGCUGGCGGUAGGCCUAACACAUGCAAGUCGAACGGCAGCACAGUAAGAGCUUGCUCUUACGGGUGGCGAGUGGCGGACGGGUGAGGAAUACAUCGGAAUCUACUUUUUCGUGGGGGAUAACGUAGGGAAACUUACGCUAAUACCGCAUACGACCUACGGGUGAAAGCAGGGGAUCUUCGGACCUUGCGCGAUUGAAUGAGCCGAUGUCGGAUUAGCUAGUUGGCGGGGUAAAGGCCCACCAAGGCGACGAUCCGUAGCUGGUCUGAGAGGAUGGUCAGCCACACUGGAAGUGAGACAGGGUCCAGACGCCUACGGGAGGCAGCAGUGGGGGAUAUUGGACGAUGGGGGCAAGCCUGAUCCAGCCAUACCGCGUGGGUGAAGAAGGCCUUCGGGUUGUAAAGCCCUUUUGUUGGGAAAGAAAAGCAGCAGGUUAAUACCCCGCUGUUCUGACGGUACCCAAAGAAUAAGCACCGGCUAACUUCGUG